UACGGGGGGAGCAAGCGUUGUUCGGAUUUACUGGGCGUAAAGGACGCGUAGGCGGCCACUGCAAGUCAGUUGUGAAAUCUCCGGGCUUAACCCGGAAAGGUCAACUGAUACUGCAGGGCUAGAGUGCAGAAGGGGCAACUGGAAUUCUCGGUGUAGCGGUGAAAUGCGUAGAUAUCGAGAGGAACACCUGCGGCGAAGGCGGGUUGCUGGGCUGACACUGACGCUGAUGUGCGAAAGCUAGGGGAGCGAACGGG
RNAcentral lists this ribosomal RNA (254 nucleotides) under uncultured bacterium. Its description in RNAcentral is "partial 16S ribosomal RNA". It matches the Rfam family "Bacterial small subunit ribosomal RNA", at positions 524 to 776 of the family's 1533-position model. The record is from RNAcentral.